This 88-nucleotide ribosomal RNA is filed under the name Atractylodes lancea. Lineage: Eukaryota; Viridiplantae; Streptophyta; Magnoliopsida; Asterales; Asteraceae. The record is from RNAcentral.
GAUCCCAUCAGAACUCCGAAGUUAAGCGUGCUUGGGCGAGAGUAGUACUAGGAUGGGUGACUCCCUGGGAAGUCCUCGUGUUGCACCC